GAUGAACGCUGGCGGCGUGCCUAAUACAUGCAAGUCGAGCGAACGGACGAGAAGCUUGCUUCUCUGAUGUUAGCGGCGGACGGGUGAGUAACACGUGGAUAACCUACCUAUAAGACUGGGAUAACUUCGGGAAACCGGAGCUAAUACCGGAUAAUAUUUUGAACCGCAUGGUUCAAAAGUGAAAGACGGUCUUGCUGUCACUUAUAGAUGGAUCCGCGCUGCAUUAGCUAGUUGGUAAGGUAACGGCUUACCAAGGCAACGAUGCAUAGCCGACCUGAGAGGGUGAUCGGCCACACUGGAACUGAGACACGGUCCAGACUCCUACGGGAGGCAGCAGUAGGGAAUCUUCCGCAAUGGGCGAAAGCCUGACGGAGCAACGCCGCGUGAGUGAUGAAGGUCUUCGGAUCGUAAAACUCUGUUAUUAGGGAAGAACAUAUGUGUAAGUAACUGUGCACAUCUUGACGGUACCUAAUCAGAAAGCCACGGCUAACUACGUGCCAGCAGCCGCGGUAAUACAUAGGUGGCAAGCGUUAUCCGGAAUUAUUGGGCGUAAAGCGCGCGUAGGCGGUUUUUUAAGUCUGAUGUGAAAGCCCACGGCUCAACCGUGGAGGGUCAUUGGAAACUGGAAAACUUGAGUGCAGAAGAGGAAAGUGGAAUUCCAUGUGUAGCGGUGAAAUGCGCAGAGAUAUGGAGGAACACCAGUGGCGAAGGCGACUUUCUGGUCUGUAACUGACGCUGAUGUGCGAAAGCGUGGGGAUCGAACAGGAUUAGAUACCCUGGUAGUCCACGCCGUAAACGAUGAGUGCUAAGUGUUAGGGGGUUUCCGCCCCUUAGUGCUGCAGCUAACGCAUUAAGCACUCCGCCUGGGGAGUACGACCGCAAGGUUGAAACUCAAAGGAAUUGACGGGGACCCGCACAAGCGGUGGAGCAUGUGGUUUAAUUCGAAGCAACGCGAAGAACCUUACCAAAUCUUGACAUCCUUUGACAACUCUAGAGAUAGAGCCUUCCCCUUCGGGGGACAAAGUGACAGGUGGUGCAUGGUUGUCGUCAGCUCGUGUCGUGAGAUGUUGGGUUAAGUCCCGCAACGAGCGCAACCCUUAAGCUUAGUUGCCAUCAUUAAGUUGGGCACUCUAAGUUGACUGCCGGUGACAAACCGGAGGAAGGUGGGGAUGACGUCAAAUCAUCAUGCCCCUUAUGAUUUGGGCUACACACGUGCUACAAUGGACAAUACAAAGGGCAGCGAAACCGCGAGGUCAGGCAAAUCCCAUAAAGUCGUUCUCAGUUCGGAUUGUAGUCUGCAACUCGACUACAUGAAGCUGGAAUCGCUAGUAAUCGUAGAUCAGCAUGCUACGGUGAAUACGUUCCCGGGUCU
RNAcentral lists this ribosomal RNA (1372 nucleotides) under uncultured bacterium. Its description in RNAcentral is "bacterial SSU rRNA". It matches the Rfam family "Bacterial small subunit ribosomal RNA", at positions 28 to 1381 of the family's 1533-position model. The record is from RNAcentral.